GCUUAAUUUGAAUCAACACAGGAAAACACACCCAACCCGGACACCGUAAGACGUAAGGACACCGACAGAUUGAAAGCUGUUUCUCGAUUUAGUGGUUGGUGGUGCAUGGCCAUUCUUAGUUGGUGGAGCGAUUUAUCUGGUUUAUUCCGAUAAAUAAAUAUUGACUAGAUUACUGUGUCUAGUCUACUUCUUAGAGCGAUAAGCGGUGUUUAGCAGAACGAGAUUGAGCGAUAACAGGUCAAUGGUGUUUGUAGAUGAACCCGCA
This 265-nucleotide non-coding RNA is filed under the name Angiostrongylus costaricensis. RNAcentral's name for it is "Eukaryotic small subunit ribosomal RNA". It matches the Rfam family "Eukaryotic small subunit ribosomal RNA", at positions 1188 to 1491 of the family's 1831-position model. Lineage: Eukaryota; Metazoa; Nematoda; Chromadorea; Rhabditida; Metastrongylidae. The record is from Rfam by way of RNAcentral.